Molecule: unclassified non-coding RNA, 234 nt
Filed under: Hevea brasiliensis (rubber tree)
Lineage: Eukaryota; Viridiplantae; Streptophyta; Magnoliopsida; Malpighiales; Euphorbiaceae
Source: RNAcentral
GGAUUUUGAACCUCACCAUGGGCAUAAUCGCUCAAAGCAGCUCCAGUGUUUUUAAGGGACAUAGAAUAGGCGGAGUGAGCGGCGGCGAAAGCAUUUCGAGCGGUGACAGCGUCCUUCAUAUGAAUCUUGCGUUCUUUACAACGGGCGAUGGCUUCUUCAUUCUCGAUCUUGGACUGUGAACAACCCAUUGAUCGGCGGCGAAAUCAAAGAGAGUUUGGUAAUUGGAAAUGGAAA